UAUAGAUAAACCCUAACUAAAAAGAUAGCUAAAGUGAAUUAAAGCUACAAUUAUCUCCAUCUCCAUGCAUGUUCCUUGCUUUGUCUCUGGUCUUUCACUUUCAAAUGUUCCUCGUGAGUACUGUAUACAUCUCUCUCUCUUUACUCUUCCUCUUUCAUGGAUUCCAUAUCCAGAAUCCAUGUCACCCACAUGUACUCACUUUGAUUUUUAGGUCCCCCUACCCUCCACAUUUUUACAUAUCUUUCUUAUGGAAUUUACAAAAGGGGUGCCUAGUCAUAAAGCAACAUGAUAUUUUGUAGGUCUUUGGGUCAAUGUGCUGGGA
RNAcentral lists this unclassified non-coding RNA (322 nucleotides) under Hevea brasiliensis (rubber tree). The record is from RNAcentral. Lineage: Eukaryota; Viridiplantae; Streptophyta; Magnoliopsida; Malpighiales; Euphorbiaceae.